RNAcentral lists this long non-coding RNA (291 nucleotides) under Homo sapiens (human). RNAcentral describes it as "HSALNT0388508". Lineage: Eukaryota; Metazoa; Chordata; Mammalia; Primates; Hominidae. The record is from RNAcentral.
GUGGAGGAUGAGCCGGAACUUGGGAUUGUAUUCACAUUCUUUGUCUCCAAUUUUAAUGAAUCUGGAACAUAAAGGCUCAUGUGAAGGUGUCCUGAUGACAUAGAACAGGAUGAGUACUGAAACCACAAGGCUAAAAUGAAGGGAGGCAUGAGGGAUGUCAAGGCCCAAGCCACUGAAGCCUGGUGGGUGCUGGCCAGACAUUCUCAGUGCCAUUCAAGUCCCUUCACGUGGUAACUUUCCCACAGGUUGAGUGGGCCCGUCAUGUGAAUGUUGGCUACUGAAAAGGUAUAA